CCUCCAUUUUCUCCCUCCCCACAUACUUCUUCCAUAUUUCCUCAUGUAUUAUGAUAUGGGAAGGUGGUGGAGCUGAAUCCCCCUCGUUACUGCUGGAACCCUGUGAACUGUUAGGUUCCUUCUUUAACACUGUUAUCACAGCCACUGCAGCUGGAGCUUCCUGGACUGCUGUCUUUUCCAGAAUGUCUCCAAGCCCUUUGGAUAAACCCUACAAAUCACACAUCUUCUUACACCCAAAUCCAAAAUUAUACAAAUACCACUGUACCACAUUUUUAUUUCUUUACUUAUAUGUCCACAUUUUGUUCUUUAAUGACCCAAUAUUAAAAGUAAAAAGAAAAGAAAAAA
RNAcentral lists this long non-coding RNA (345 nucleotides) under Rattus norvegicus (Norway rat). Its description in RNAcentral is "long non-coding RNA NONRATT019269". The record is from RNAcentral. Lineage: Eukaryota; Metazoa; Chordata; Mammalia; Rodentia; Muridae.